UUCACGAUGUGGAUGCGACUGUCUUCAUAUAGCGAAAGGUUCGUGAAUGAUGUGCAGUACAUGCAGAGCAGACAAAUGCUCUUCAAGGCAAAGUACAACGAAGCAGUGGAGAAAGAAGAUAUUCAAGCACGAGUGUGGCUUUAUUUCAGAAAACCGCUAAGAAGAGUCAGUGAGGACUACAGAAGUCAAGGAGAACUCAGCAACUGGGCUUUCCGAUUGGUUGCGCCCGGUACGUCAGAGGAACAGCUAAGGUGAAGUUGGAAGAUCGCAAAGAAAAGUCGGAGAGAAUUACAGAAGUCAAGAAGAGCUGAGCUACUGGGCUUUCCGAUUGGUUGCGCCCGGUACGUCACAGGAACAGUUAAGGUGAUCGCUCGGAAAUAGCACGCCACCACCACUGCUGCACAAGAUGUCAUGUAACGUGGUUCACACUUGCCGCGAUUGCGGAUGCCAAUCAGGAAAUAUACAAUAAUUGCUCUACAAGAUAAUUUUUAAA
Long non-coding RNA from Ornithodoros turicata, 493 nucleotides. RefSeq lists it as uncharacterized. NCBI's taxonomy places the organism in Eukaryota, Metazoa, Arthropoda, Arachnida, Ixodida, Argasidae. The record is from RefSeq and is a predicted model, not a curated record. The transcript has 4 exons.